This 656-nucleotide long non-coding RNA is filed under the name Sorghum bicolor (sorghum). Its description in RNAcentral is "long non-coding RNA (SBIC_LNC013762)". Lineage: Eukaryota; Viridiplantae; Streptophyta; Magnoliopsida; Poales; Poaceae. The record is from RNAcentral.
UGGCGUUCGGCAAAGAAUUUUCAUUUUUUUUGCUUUUUGCUUCCAAAAUUUUUUGUUAUGCAUUAUGCAUUAUUUAUUUAAUAGUACAUGUUUAAGUUUUGGUAUUUUUUAAAUUUUUUUAUUAUAUAUCGUUAGUUUAUUUGAUUUAAUUGAAUUUCUCUGACAAACGUGGGUUUGAACUGCAGAUGUAUCAGAGUAGGAGUAGGAGUAGGUGCAGUAGUAGUUGGAGUAGGAGUAGGAGUACGAGUAGUAGUAGGUGAAGUCGUGGUAGGCAACGUGGUAGUAGGUAGUGAAAGGAUCAAGAUGCCCAAGAGGGGGGGUGAAUUGGGCUUCUCUGAAAAUUUAAGCAACCUAUAAGCUUCAAUUCAACCCCUUGUGCCUAGAGUGUCCUAGAGAGCUACCGGAUAAAAGUUUUGCAACCUAGUUCCAAUCCUAUUCUAGCUUGGCAAUUCUAAGAAUGUAAAAGCACAAAGUAAAUGUUAGAAUGUAAAGGAGUAGUGGAAGAAAGUGCUCGGCGAUGUUUUGCCGAGGUAUCGGAGAGUCGCCACUCUCCACUAGUCCUCAUUGGAGCACCCGCGCAAGGGUCUUGCUCCCCCUUGGUCCUCGCAAGGACCAAGUGCUCUCUACGGGCUGAUUCUUCGACACUCCGUCGCGGU